AUUAACCAGGUGGUCAAAAUACAUCAUAUACACAUUGCAGGAAAAACAGUUGAAAGAAAAAUUUCUAUUUAAAUUUCAAAAUGAAAUUAUUUUACUUUCUUUGUAUUUUAUAUAGUUUUCUAAUAUAUAUUACUUCGACCCAAGCUGCUGAUCGCCGAAGAUGCCUGAAGGCAGUGGCCGAGGAUAACCGCUGCAACACUACUGUGCAAGCAUAUUUCUUCGUUAACCGCAGAUUUCGCGCUAGAUGUUUGCAAUACACAAUCCCAGUUUGUAACACCACCAUCCAGUAUUACCAAAAUUACGACCAAUGUCUAAGAGAAUGUCAAAGCAUUCGUAGAAAUUCUUAACAUCUUAAAAUCUACAGUAAAUUGUAUUCUCACCACAAUAAAAAUAAAGUUCUUUAA
Spodoptera frugiperda (fall armyworm) is the source of this 404-nucleotide long non-coding RNA. RefSeq lists it as uncharacterized. The record is from RefSeq and is a predicted model, not a curated record. The transcript is spliced from 3 exons. NCBI's taxonomy places the organism in Eukaryota, Metazoa, Arthropoda, Insecta, Lepidoptera, Noctuidae.